RNAcentral lists this ribosomal RNA (1271 nucleotides) under uncultured Inocybe. RNAcentral describes it as "eukaryotic LSU rRNA". The stretch from base 614 to 1271 matches the Rfam family "Eukaryotic large subunit ribosomal RNA", at positions 1 to 620 of the family's 3401-position model. Lineage: Eukaryota; Fungi; Basidiomycota; Agaricomycetes; Agaricales; Cortinariaceae. The record is from RNAcentral.
GUGCUGCGGAGCGCAUGCAUAUAUCGAAUAAACUUGAACAGGCUGUUGCUGGUCCCUUGGGACAUGUGCACGCUUGUCAUCUUUAUCAUUUCUCCAACUGUGCACAUACUUUGUAGACCUUGGAGGGGGAAAUGGAAUUCGUUCCGAGUGGGGACUGCUGUGCCUUCAAAAAAAAGAGGUCGGCUUUCCCUUUGAAAGGUUCUAUGUCUCACAAAACAAUAUGUCUAGAAUGUUGAAAUACAAUAAAAGUUAUAAAAAACAACUUUCAGCAACGGAUCUCUUGGCUCUCGCAUCGAUGAAGAACGCAGCGAAAUGCGAUAAGUAAUGUGAAUUGCAGAAUUCAGUGAAUCAUCGAAUCUUUGAACGCAUCUUGCGCUCCUUGGUAUUCCGAGGAGCAUGCCUGUUUGAGUGUCAUUUUGAACUCUCAAAGCCCACAUCUUGAUGUGGCUUUGGACUUGGGGGCUUUUGCAGGCUUUUAGUGAAAGGCCUGCUCUCCUGAAAUUCAUUAGUGGUACCUGGAGUGGAGACCGCUAGGCGUUGAUAACAUUCAUCUAUGCCUUUGGUAUGCCGCGCAAAUGGGCUGCUUCGAAAACGCACAUGCUCUUGACAAACUUGACCUCAAAUCAGGUAGGACUACCCGCUGAACUUAAGCAUAUCAAUAAGCGGAGGAAAAGAAACUAACAAGGAUUCCCCUAGUAACUGCGAGUGAAGCGGGAAGAGCUCAAAUUUGAAAUCUGGCGGUUCUUGACCGUCCGAGUUGUAAUCUAGAGAAGUGCUACCUGUGCUGGACCGUGUACAAGUCUCCUGGAAUGGAAGCAUCACAGAGGGUGAGAAUCCCGUCUUUGACACGGACUGCCUGCACGUUGUGGUGUGCUCUCGAAGAGUCGAGUUGUUUGGGAAUGCAGCUCAAAAUGGGUGGUAAAUGCCAUCUAAAGCUAAAUAUUGGCGAGAGACCGAUAGCGAACAAGUACCGUGAGGGAAAGAUGAAAAGAACUUUGGAAAGAGAGUUAAACAGUACGUGAAAUUGCUGAAAGGGAAACGCUUGAAGUCAGUCGCGUCGGCCAGAAAUCAGCCUUGCUUUUGCUUGGUGUACUUUCUUGUUGAUGGGUCAGCAUCAAUUUCGACCGUCGGAUAAAGUCGUUCAGGAAUGUGGCAUCUUCGGAUGUGUUAUAGCCUGGCGUCGCAUACGGUGGUUGGGAUUGAGGAACUCAGCACGCCGCAAGGCCGGGUCUCUUGACCACGUCCGUGCAUAGGAGAACUGAUACAUGGAA